AGGAAUAGUGUGCUCAGCUGUCUGUGACAACUGCAGAGACAAUGACACUACUGAGGGCUGCGUGUUAUGUUUGGUGGAAUAUUUUUCAGAUAUUGUCUUCAUUGGCUUCUGAUAAAGAGUUCCAUCUGAGUGUUUCAUGGUAACAGAGUGGGGGGAUUUCCCUCUGCCUAGUCCGACAUAUACAAACCUGUCAUCUGCAGCUCUACGUGUGUCUGCUAGCACUGGCUUUUACCUUUUACUACCACCCUGACAACUAACCUUUCAACUAAAUCCUGUCCUUACUCUGUGGUAGACCAGGUUUAUUAUAGUAAUACGCAAAUUACUAUAUUAUUUCCUGUUUCAAAAUAAAAGCCACUACAGUGAAAUGGCCAGAAUUUCAAUGACAUUUUUCUGUCUGGUCUGAUCUAAGAUAAAAUAUAGUUAAAAGUAGAAUCCUUUCAUAAAACAAAAUGCUGUAGAUGUGCAGUAUCAACAAAAAAACAAUAACAAAAAGCAGCUCCAGCAAAGCCGUCAAUAUGCAUUAUUUGUUAAAAAUCCAUCAUGUUGACAGCUAGUUACUGGAGGAACAUAUUCACAGAGGAUGUCUUGCAGCAAACAAACAGGAUGCAUUUAGAUUUGUUGUUGCUUCAUAAACUCUCCUAAUAUUAUUUUUACCUCCCACUAGUUUAUCAGUGAAAAGCUCUUAAUGUGAAGUAGCAAAAGGAAUGUAAGUGAAGGCCCGGUCCUUAUUCCCAGUACUGUGUUUUCAUAGAGGAAAAGUCCCAGAAUGCUUUACAAACAGAAUAUAACACAGAGUAAGGCAACGAUACUGGGUAUGAUGUCCAUAAAUGUAAAUAUAUGGGGAAAUAUAAAAGAAAACAGAAGAGGGAAAGGAAUGUGCAAAUUCACAAUGUCAGUAGAAUUUAAUGCAAAGAAGAAUCUGCUAUGAAUUGUAUAUUUAUUCUCAUGUCUAAGGUGUUGAAUGUUGAAAACUAAUACAGUUGCGAUGUUUCUUAUUUCCAAGACUCAUCUGGUUUCAGUUCAGGGAUGGAAAAAGAAAGAAAUAGGGUUGGGCUAAAACCGCAAAUGUGUUCCUCUACAUAUGCAUACCUCACACAGAUAAACCGUUAUAACAUGAGGAAAGCAACAACACCCUGAACAUAGGGAGGUUUGAGGUCUUUAUUGGCAAUUAAUACAAUAAAUGAAAAGGAAUCUGAAAGAAAGCUGCGACUGACUUACAUUUGACCUUUGUAUGAGUCACUCUGAUGAAGAAUCAUGAACAUGUGGAUGCGGGAGUGGAGGGAGGUGGAUGUUGUUCUCUCUAUUUUUGGUGACUCUGCAGAGGGAGGAGAGGAGCCGUAGUGGGUUUGCCGUGACAAAAGUUGCAGCACACUGCAGUUAUUGUGCAGAGAUUGAUCACAUUUUCCACAAUCCACCACCUGCCGACUCAGCACCGCACUGUUUAUCUGUAACACCGCUUAAAUUAGUUUAGUGGGGACACGCCUGCUUAAAUGUAUUUAUUCCCAGAGUCACUUUCAGUUUAUACAUAUCAGCUUUAAAAUGACCGUCAUUCUGCACAAAUCAAAAAUGAGCAUCAACUUAAUAGGCUUAAGGUAUUUUGACGUCCCACUUAUAUCAGCGAGGUUAGACUAAUAUUUAUAGACUGUAUAGAAGAAACGCUACUACUGUACAUCUGAGGUCUGAAAGCUGCUCAGACUCUCAUAUAUGCACCUUAACCCAAUGUUAGAGACUGUAGGAGGCUGGUAUUUUUACUCUUCAUCUCUACAGGGUUUGACAGGGUACAGGUCCCCCUGGUGGACAGUCCUCCUGCAUGUGAUAAUGCCUCAUGGGCUGCAUCACCUGUCCUGUAUCUGCAGGACAGUAGUCAUACUGAAGGACAUUCGGUCAAACAAGCACUUCAGUGCCUCCAUCAUCAUCAUAACACUCACAUGCAGACUGAAUAUGGUCUGACUUAAGGUAGAGGUCUAUCUUAGGUGGAGCUAAUUUACUUUAAAAACUAAAACGAAGCUGAUCGAGGCAGUGAUUUUUACUUUUACAAGAUAUUCAAUUAGAAAAAUUCAGCUACAGUAUUGAAAAGAAAUCUAUUCUGUGAUAAUAUUGCUAAUUAAUGUUGCAUUAUACUAACUCUCGAGACUUCUGCCCAUAUUCUCAUCACUUUAUAUUCCCUUCAACCUGUUCUUCUUUUCAUUUUUCCCACUGCAGUAGUCUUGAACCACAAACAAACCAAACAAUUCUAAUCUACAUUUUCUUCCUUUUUGUCAGUUGGAGCCACCAGUUAGCGUAAAGCUCUGUAAAACCUGGAAAAUGUUACACUGGUCUGUAGAGAGGUUAAGUUCUGCAUCUUCAUGGAGUCGAAAGUUGGAAAAAAAUAUGAGUGGUGGUCAGUGGUGAAAGAUAGAAAAUGUCUUGAUCCUGUUUAACUCAUGCCAUAAGUUAAACUUAAGUUUGUCAAUUUACAGGAAAAUUAUGCAAGUCAAUAAAAUAACACUUCAGCGUAAAACUGUUGAAGGAUCAAACUGUGAAAAUACUUGAAUAUAAUGACUACACACUUCUAACUCACAUGAAUUCAUUUCUUCACAAGGUGUUCAGAGCCUGUGGAAAUGUCUCUGCAUCCUCAACAUGACCAGAGUUUUAGGAAUUUUCACCUCUUCUAUUAUUUUUUCACUUGUUUGAGAUUAAAUGUGAGACAGAUGAGAGCUGCAGUCCACUGAGACGAACACACUACUGCUCUUAGAUGAUUACAAGGCAAACUAGACAGUUUUACAAAAUAAAGUUAGGCUUAUUUAAAGUCUGAAAAGUUACUAGUCUACUCUCAGUUUAAUACGAACUGAUAUUUGAUGGAAUUGUAACUUCCACUUUAACCUGUGGCACCAACUGACAAAACGGAGGCAAACAUGAACUUUUGUGACUUGAUUGUGAAAUAAGAAAUGUUGUUACAAAACAAUAUAUUUCAAAGUGUUUUUAGAAAUCACAGUCAUUUAUUUAGUCAAAAUUAACUCUUCUGAGCCUGAAAGAAUUAUCAGUCAUGAACAGCUUUGUGCAACAGCCACAGUACUUUUAGACAUCUAUGUGAAGUCUGACUAUCAGAUCUAAAACGUAGUCUUUGUAAAACUGGCCUAGGGACAGAGUUACUGAUGUUUCAAGCUUAAAAAUAAACCAGUUUUUCUCUGUAAAAGAAGACUCUCAGCCCAAAGUUGAGAUUGAUCUGACACUGAACACCAGUCAAACCUUAAACCCGUUUAUUUCUGUGACAGUAGCAAAACCACAAUCACCACAAUAUAUGCAAGUGCAGAAUGGAAGUUCAGCAUAAUAUCCUGUAUAUUAUAUUACAUUGUAACUAUUGAUACGUUCUUGUUUCCGUCUUUAAUGUUGUAGUUGAUAAUGGCAUGGCUCACUUUAAUAGAAGACAUGACUUUAUUGAUCCCACUGUGGGGAAAUUUCAGUUGACAGCAGCAAAAAGCAAGUGCAGAGA
Long non-coding RNA from Sphaeramia orbicularis (orbiculate cardinalfish), 3472 nucleotides. RefSeq lists it as uncharacterized. The record is from RefSeq and is a predicted model, not a curated record. Lineage: Eukaryota; Metazoa; Chordata; Actinopteri; Kurtiformes; Apogonidae. The transcript is spliced from 2 exons.